Molecule: ribosomal RNA, 550 nt
Filed under: uncultured bacterium
Lineage: Bacteria
Description: bacterial SSU rRNA
Rfam family: Bacterial small subunit ribosomal RNA
Source: RNAcentral
UAGGGAAUCUUCGGCAAUGGACGGAAGUCUGACCGAGCAACGCCGCGUGAGUGAAGAAGGUUUUCGGAUCGUAAAGCUCUGUUGUAAGAGAAGAACGAGUGUGAGAGUGGAAAAUUCACACUGUGACGGUAUCUUACCAGAAAGGGACGGCUAACUACGUGCCAGCAGCCGCGGUAAUACGUAGGUCCCGAGCGUUGUCCGGAUUUAUUGGGCGUAAAGCGAGCGCAGGCGGUUAGAUAAGUCUGAAGUUAAAGGCUGUGGCUUAACCAUAGUACGCUUUGGAAACUGUUUAACUUGAGUGCAAGAGGGGAGAGUGGAAUUCCAUGUGUAGCGGUGAAAUGCGUAGAUAUAUGGAGGAACACCGGUGGCGAAAGCGGCUCUCUGGCUUGUAACUGACGCUGAGGCUCGAAAGCGUGGGGAGCAAACAGGAUUAGAUACCCUGGUAGUCCACGCCGUAAACGAUGAGUGCUAGGUGUUAGACCCUUUCCGGGGUUUAGUGCCGUAGCUAACGCAUUAAGCACUCCGCCUGGGGAGUACGACCGCAAGGUUG